AGUGAACGCUGGCGGUAGGCCUAACACAUGCAAGUCGAACGGCAGCACAGUAAGAUCUUGCUCUUACGGGUGGCGAGUGGCGGACGGGUGAGGAAUACAUCGGAAUCUACUUUUUCGUGGGGGAUAACGUAGGGACACUUACGCUAAUACCGCAUACGACCUACGGGUGAAUGCAGGGGAUCUUCGGACCUUGCGCGAUUGAUUGAGCCGAUGUCGGAUUAGCUAGUUGGCGGGGUAAAGGCCCACCAAGGCGACGAUCCGUAGCUGGUCUGAGAGGAUGAUCAGCCACACUGGAACUGAGACACGGUCCAGACUCCUACGGGAGGCAGCAGUGGGGAAUAUUGGACAAUGGGCGAAAGCCUGAUCCAGCCAUGCCGCGUGGGUGAAGAAGGCCUUCGGGUUGUAAAGCCCUUUUGUUGGGAAAGAAAAGAAGCAGGUUAAUACCCCGCUGUUCUGACGGUACCCAAAGAAUAAGCACCGGCUAACUUCGUG
This 492-nucleotide ribosomal RNA is filed under the name uncultured bacterium. RNAcentral describes it as "partial 16S ribosomal RNA". It matches the Rfam family "Bacterial small subunit ribosomal RNA", at positions 29 to 507 of the family's 1533-position model. The record is from RNAcentral.